RNAcentral lists this ribosomal RNA (199 nucleotides) under uncultured bacterium. Its description in RNAcentral is "partial 16S ribosomal RNA". It matches the Rfam family "Bacterial small subunit ribosomal RNA", at positions 1302 to 1500 of the family's 1533-position model. The record is from RNAcentral.
AGUCUGCAACCCGACUACAUGAAGCUGGAAUCGCUAGUAAUCGCAGAUCAGAAUGCUGCGGUGAAUACGUUCCCGGGUCUUGUACACACCGCCCGUCACACCAUGGGAGUCGGAAAUGCCCGAAGCCAGUGACCCAACCUUAAGGAGGGAGCUGUCGAAGGUGGAGCCGAUAACUGGGGUGAAGUCGUAACAAGGUACC